AGGGUUUGAUCCUGGCUCAGAUUGAACGCUGGCGGCACGCUUUACACAUGCAAGUCGGGCGGCAGCAUGGGGCUUCGGCCCCGAUGGCGAGCGGCGGACGGGUGAGUAAUGCAUGGGAAUGCGCCCAGUAGUGGGGGACAACCCUGGGAAACCAGGGCUAAUACCGCAUGUUUUCUACGGAACAAAGCGGGGGACUUCUUCGGAAACCUCGCGCUAUUGGAGCAGCCCAUGUCCGAUUAGCUAGUUGGCGGGGUAACGGCCCACCAAGGCGACGAUCGGUAGCUGGUCUGAGAGGAUGAUCAGCCACACCGGGACUGAGACACGGCCCGGACUCCUACGGGAGGCAGCAGUGGGGAAUAUUGGACAAUGGGGGCAACCCUGAUCCAGCGAUGCCGCGUGAGUGAAGAAGGCCUUCGGGUUGUAAAGCUCUUUCGCAGGGGAAGAAACAGCGGGGAAGAAUACGCCCCGCGAAUGACGGUACCCUGACAAGAAGCACCGGCUAACUUCGUGCCAGCAGCCGCGGUAAUACGGGGGGUGCAAGCGUUAAUCGGAAUUACUGGGCGUAAAGCGUGCGUAGGCGGCUUUUCAAGUCAGAUGUGAAAUCCCGGGGCUCAACCUCGGAACUGCGUUUGAAACUGGAAGGCUCGAGUUCGGCAGAGGAAGGUGGAAUUCCGCGUGUAGCGGUGAAAUGCGUAGAGAUGCGGAAGAACACUAAUGGCGAAGGCAUCCUUCUGGGCCGAUACUGACGCUGAGUCACGAAAGC
This 763-nucleotide ribosomal RNA is filed under the name uncultured bacterium. Its description in RNAcentral is "bacterial SSU rRNA". It matches the Rfam family "Bacterial small subunit ribosomal RNA", at positions 8 to 760 of the family's 1533-position model. The record is from RNAcentral.